AUUCUGGUUUCUCAGUGUAAUUCAGUAGUAAAACAAGAAAGACCAAGUAAAUUAUCAACAACUACAGGUUUUUUAGUAGCCCAGAAAAUGCCACUUGUCAGAAACCAAAUGAUCUGCACUUCAGACAGACCUUUGGGCUUUACCAACAGCAGCAGCAAAAUUGACCUGCCAAAAGCAAACGUUCUCACUACGCAUGUCAGAGUAAAGAGGAGCCUAAACAUUUUGCUCUUUGUUUGUAAACACAGCUGAGCCUUGUCUUCUGCUCACACUUACCUUUCCCAGAGCAGCUGCUCCCUAUCUGGAGAGGGAUUCGUAUGGACCUUAUACAGGUGUGCCUACAGUCAUCACUUAAAAGACUGCUCUAACAAAGCAACCCUAAGCUAUGCUGCUAAGGUUUUAUGUUUUUGCUUGUAUUGGUUUAGAUCAUAAAGUCUUUAUGUCUCAGUUGAGCUAGCUCCAGCCCUUUCUCUGCUGCCCUAGCAUUAGCAUUGGUGCACUGGUAUUUCAGCAGUGUAGAGAAGUCUCCAGGGGCCAGCAUCCUACUUGCCUUGUCAUCUAUUCUUGCUCUGAGCAAGCCUGUGCUGCUUGGCACUAAUAACCCUGGCAGCUGUCUGGAUUAUGAUCAGUACACACGGGAUGACAGCGCUGAGAACCGACUCCACCAGGUCAAGCAUCGUACAAACACAUGUGACUAACUUGUUGCUGGAGUCCAGACGGAGAGCAGCUAGCUGGUGACAGCAAGGGCAGCAAUCUUUGGCACCAACAAAGACAACCACAUCCCUGUUCAGCUGGUGAAAUGGAAAUCAGCUGCCCAGCUUGGCCUGUUACAGGAAAUCUGCGAUAUUUCUGAACCACAUCUGUGAAAACCUAAGCCCAGAGCAGAAUUUGCCUUAAGUUCCUCCUAGCAAUGAUCUGUUUUAAUCAGGAUUGUUGCUGUAGUUGGUUCUACUGUAGGAAGGACAUCAGACAGACAAAGCACAGUCAAAUGUCAGGCAGGCCCACGUGUCACGGCUGACUGACUAAAUACGGUGCUGGAAGAAGCAAAAUUGUACUCUCAGUACUUUUACAGCUCUGUCUGUGGAGAGAGCACGUGCAGGGUGCAAGUGGGGAUGAGGUUAGGAAGAAGCUUGGUGUGGGCAGUUUCUUGUAACUGCAGUUCUGGAAGGAAGGAGAUUUACUUAUUUACUUAUUUGGCUUGAUGUCACCAAGAGGAGGGCCUGAGCAGUCAUCUGCUACCUUUGUGGCAUGGUGUGCUUCCUGAUUCCCCUUGGCCAGCCUUACCGCCUCUUACACCAGGGAAGCUUUAACUGCUGUGAGCACAGUUUAUUGAUCUUCAGCAGAAGUUAAUGUGUCAAUAGGCAGAGCAGGUCAAAGUAAGUUCAGGCCAGUCUAGAGAGGAUGUAAUGAGACAUGAAGGACGUGCAGUAAAUUAAAGAGCUGAUUGUGCUCCAAUGAAAUCAGAGGUUCCUUUGAUUUUAGCAGCAAAAGUUCUAGCCAUAAGAAGGAAAAAGUGUGUUAUUUCUUUGUCUAAAGACAAAAUUACUGUCUUUAAAAAAGAAAAAGCUAGUAUUUGUAAAGCCAGCAUGUUAAACUAUAAACUACCUUUGGUUUUAUGAGAUAAUAAUAAUUUAUCUGUUUCAUAUACUUACACAUGGCUCAAUUAAGCCAUAAAGUCCUGACUACAGUGGUGUGCUUAGGAAGCAGUUUCAUUCUGAAGUAAAGUUUGCUUUAUUUCAUUUUUAUUUUGUUUGUUUGUUUUGUUUUGUUUUCAAGCUUUCCUCUACAGAAGUGACUCUCAAGAACAACUUCAGUCCAUGGAACAUAGCAGGCUUGAUGUUUUUUUUUAGCCUGUUUAGAACCUGUAAACAUGAAGACUACAAGAAGAUCACAGAGUAAGGGGUUUGUAACAAGAACUGUCCCUGUGUCUGAGAGCACCUCCUGCUGUGAGCAACAUACUUGCUAUAUGAUUCCUUAGUUCUUCUCUGAGGGACAAUACCACAAUCAUGGGAUUGAUCUCUACCAUUGUUAUAAUUUUCUUGUUUCAGGUGAGGCCCAUGUGAGGCUGAACUGGCAAGAGAUCAAACUAUAAUACUAGCUGUGGCUAAAUUCAAUUGAACGAUCACUUACAACAGAUCUGUUGCUAUAGAGUACUGUGAGUCAAAACGGGUAUUUAGAGCAGUGAUUCCAAAAGCUGGCUCCUCGCCGGUGUACAAUCUGGAGUUAUAUUCUAAGACUACGCUAUUGUAUGUAAAUUUCUAAUAUUGCAUAUAAUAUUAUAGUGUCCUAUUUACUCUGAGGAUUCAUAACAUUAUCUUUCUGCUGUUAUGAAACUGUAUUAAGCAUAAAAAUGAUGGUGUAUUUUUGACCAACAGAACAUACUUCGGUAGCCUAAUGAAACUGCUAACUCAGUAUCUAAUUUUGCUAUUACAAGUAGACUGAAAACAUUAUUGCUGUUUGAUAAUAAUGCAAGAUACAGCUUAUUCUUGAAUUAACUUCACUGCAUACACCUGCACAUUUUUUCUAUUCUGAAAAUAAGACCAA
This is a long non-coding RNA of Anas platyrhynchos (mallard), 2541 nucleotides long. RefSeq lists it as uncharacterized. The record is from RefSeq and is a predicted model, not a curated record. Lineage: Eukaryota; Metazoa; Chordata; Aves; Anseriformes; Anatidae.